GACGAACGCUGGCGGCGUGCUUAACACAUGCAAGUCGAACGGAAAGGCCCUGCUUUUGUGGGGUGCUCGAGUGGCGAACGGGUGAGUAACACGUGAGUAACCUGCCCUUGACUUUGGGAUAACUUCAGGAAACUGGGGCUAAUACCGGAUAGGAGCUCCUGCUGCAUGGUGGGGGUUGGAAAGUUUCGGCGGUUGGGGAUGGACUCGCGGCUUAUCAGCUUGUUGGUGGGGUAGUGGCUUACCAAGGCUUUGACGGGUAGCCGGCCUGAGAGGGUGACCGGCCACAUUGGGACUGAGAGACGGACCAGACUCCUACAGGAGGCAGCAGUGGGGAAUAUUGCACAAUGGGCGGAAGCCUGAUGCAGCAACGCCGCGUGCGGGAUGACGGCCUUCGGGUUGUAAACCGCUUUCGCCUGUGACGAAGCGUGAGUGACGGUAAUGGGUAAAGAAGCACCGGCUAACUACGUG
Molecule: ribosomal RNA, 468 nt
Filed under: uncultured bacterium
Lineage: Bacteria
Description: partial 16S ribosomal RNA
Rfam family: Bacterial small subunit ribosomal RNA
Source: RNAcentral